AGUAAGAUGGCUGAGAUUAGGCAAUAAAUUGUAAAUUUAUUUACAGGUAAAACCUUCUUAUU
This 62-nucleotide transfer RNA is filed under the name Eurycantha calcarata. RNAcentral describes it as "tRNA-Tyr". The record is from RNAcentral. Lineage: Eukaryota; Metazoa; Arthropoda; Insecta; Phasmatodea; Phasmatidae.